GCCGGAAUAGCUCAGUUGGUAGAGCAGAGGACUGAAAAUCCUCGUGUA
This 48-nucleotide transfer RNA is filed under the name Plagiothecium neckeroideum. RNAcentral's name for it is "partial tRNA-Phe". It matches the Rfam family "tRNA", at positions 1 to 47 of the family's 71-position model. Rfam says of the family: Transfer RNA (tRNA) molecules are approximately 80 nucleotides in length. The record is from RNAcentral. RNAcentral also lists the same sequence under 2 other names. Lineage: Eukaryota; Viridiplantae; Streptophyta; Bryopsida; Hypnales; Plagiotheciaceae.